CCGUUAGGGGGGGGACUCGGAAGGAUCAUUA
Molecule: ribosomal RNA, 31 nt
Filed under: Lodderomyces orthopsilosis
Lineage: Eukaryota; Fungi; Ascomycota; Pichiomycetes; Serinales; Debaryomycetaceae
Description: Candida orthopsilosis partial 18S ribosomal RNA
Source: RNAcentral